Molecule: ribosomal RNA, 200 nt
Filed under: uncultured bacterium
Lineage: Bacteria
Description: partial 16S ribosomal RNA
Rfam family: Bacterial small subunit ribosomal RNA
Source: RNAcentral
AGAGUUUGAUCCUGGCUCAGGACAAACGCUGGCGGCGUGCCUAACACAUGCAAGUCGAACGGGGUGACGGUUUCGGCCGUGACCGAGUGGCGGACGGGUGAGUAACACGUGGAUGACGUACCCUGGUGUGGGGGAUACCCUCCAGAAAUGGAGGCUAAUACCGCAUACGGUCUGGUGGAUCAAGCCAUCAGAAGAAAGCC